GACGAACGCUGGCGGCGUGCUUAACACAUGCCAGUCGAACGGAAAGGCCCUGCUUUUGUGGUGUGCUCGAGUGGCGAACGUGUGAGUAACACGUGAGUAACCUGCCCUUGACUUUGGGAUAACUUCAGGAAACUGGGGCUAAUACCGGAUAGGAGCUCCUGCUGCAUGGUGGGGGUUGGAAAGUUUCGGCGGUUUGGGAUGGACUCGCGUCUGAUCAGCUUGUUGGUGGGGUAAUGGCUUACCAAGGCUUGGCCGGAUAGCCGGCCUGAGAGGGUGACCGGCUAGAUUGGGAAUGAGGCACGGCCUACACUCGGACGCGAGGCAGGGGAAGGGUAUAUAGCGGGAGGGGGCAAGAUGCGAUGAAGCCGCGUGGGGGGAGUGAAGAUGUAUGUCGUAAAGUACAGCCGUCUGAGAAGGGAAGAGAAUGACGGUACCUGAUGAAGAAGCCCCGGCUAACUACGUG
RNAcentral lists this ribosomal RNA (463 nucleotides) under uncultured bacterium. Its description in RNAcentral is "partial 16S ribosomal RNA". It matches the Rfam family "Bacterial small subunit ribosomal RNA", at positions 28 to 507 of the family's 1533-position model. The record is from RNAcentral.